This 433-nucleotide ribosomal RNA is filed under the name uncultured bacterium. Its description in RNAcentral is "partial 16S ribosomal RNA". It matches the Rfam family "Bacterial small subunit ribosomal RNA", at positions 29 to 507 of the family's 1533-position model. The record is from RNAcentral.
AACGAACGCUGGCGGCAUGCCUAACACAUGCAAGUCGAACGAGACCUUCGGGUCUAGUGGCGCACGGGUGCGUAACGCGUCGGAACCUGCCCUUAGGUUCGGAAUAACUCCCCGACAGGGGUGCUAAUACCGGAUAAUGUCUUCGGACCAAAGAUUUAUCGCCUUUGGUGGGGCCCGCGUUGGAUUAGCUAGUUGGUAGGGUAAAAGCCUACCAAGGCGACGAUCGAUAGCUGGUCUGAGAGAAUGAUCAGCCACACUGGGACUGAGACACGGCCUAGACUCCUACGGGAGGCAGCAGUGGGGAAUAUUGGACAAUGGGCGAAAGCCUGAUCCAGCAAUGCCGCGUGAGUGAUGAAGGCCUUAGAGUUGUAAAGCGCUUUUACCCGGGAUGAUAAUGACAGUACCGGGAGAAUAAGCUCCGGCUAACUCCGUG